UAAACAUGGGGAUGCGGCUUUGAAGAAGGUAUCCGAGAGGGAAGGUUAUCUAGAGAGGAGGUGUCGUCCACCAAGAUGUAUGGCAAUAGUUUUAGUAAGAAGAAGAAGAGUGAAGCUAAUGCAGUUUCAGUUGGGAGGCAAAGGAGGUCUCAGGUAAGAAGAAAUCAAACACCCUAUCAACAUCAUCAUCAAGUAUCAUCAGUCAUUUCGGUAUUUUCAGCAAAUCAGUCAGUACCAAUUCAAC
RNAcentral lists this long non-coding RNA (244 nucleotides) under Lathyrus oleraceus (garden pea). Its description in RNAcentral is "Pisum sativum (pea) long non-coding RNA (PSAT_LNC013936)". The record is from RNAcentral. Lineage: Eukaryota; Viridiplantae; Streptophyta; Magnoliopsida; Fabales; Fabaceae.